GUAGGUGGCAAGCGUUGUCCGGAAUUAUUGGGCGUAAAGCGCGCGCAGGUGGUUCUUUAAGUCUGAUGUGAAAGACCCCCGGGCUCAACCGGAGAGGGUCAUUGGAAACUGGGGAACUUGAGUGCAGGAGAGGAAAGUGGAAUUCCACGUGUAGCGGUGAAAUGCGUAGAUAUGUGGAGGAACACCAGUGGCGAAGGCGACUUUCUGGCCUGUAACUGACACUGAGGCGCGAAAGCGUGGGGAGCAAACAGGAUUAGAUACCCUGGUAGUCCACGCCGUAAACGAUGAGUGCUAAGUGUUGGGGGGGUUUCCGCCCCUCAGUGCUGCAGCUAACGCAUUAAGCACUCCGCCUGGGGAGUACGGUCGCAAGACUG
This 374-nucleotide ribosomal RNA is filed under the name uncultured organism. RNAcentral's name for it is "partial 16S ribosomal RNA". It matches the Rfam family "Bacterial small subunit ribosomal RNA", at positions 527 to 896 of the family's 1533-position model. The record is from RNAcentral.